ACAAACUUGGUCAUUUAGAGGAAGUAAAAGUCGUAACAAGGUUUCCGUAGGUGAACCUGCGGAAGGAUCAUUAUUGAAUAAACAUGGCUUUAGGCUGUUGCUGACUUUCAGAGUAUGUGCACGCCUAUUCCAUUUUUAUUUAACCUCCUGUGCACUUUUAUGUAGAUCUGAAAACCUUUCGAGUCUAAAGUCUCGUUUCAAGGAAUUGCUGUGCUAUCAGUUGGCCAGCUUUUCCUCAUUUCAGAUCUAUCUAAUCAAUUCACUCCACAUAAAGUUUCAGAAUGUCAUUAUCAGGCAUCAUUUGCCUUAUAAAUAUGUAUCUAUACAACUUUCAACAACGGAUCUCUUGGCUCUCGCAUCGAUGAAGAACGCAGC
This 375-nucleotide unclassified non-coding RNA is filed under the name uncultured fungus. Its description in RNAcentral is "partial contains small subunit ribosomal RNA, internal transcribed spacer 1, and 5.8S ribosomal RNA". The stretch from base 1 to 73 matches the Rfam family "Eukaryotic small subunit ribosomal RNA", at positions 1759 to 1831 of the family's 1831-position model. Lineage: Eukaryota; Fungi. The record is from RNAcentral.